RNAcentral lists this ribosomal RNA (42 nucleotides) under Trichoderma caerulescens. Its description in RNAcentral is "partial 18S ribosomal RNA". Lineage: Eukaryota; Fungi; Ascomycota; Sordariomycetes; Hypocreales; Hypocreaceae. The record is from RNAcentral.
AGAGAAAAGGGUCUCUGUUGGUGACCAGCGGAGGGAUCAUUA